AAGGAAAAUAUCAUCUUCAGUUGUGAAAGACUUAAAAUAAGUUUUUAUUUAAUAGAGUAACAACAUAUUACGGUUUGGGGCCUAUAGCUCAGUUGGUUAGAGCACACGCCUGAUAAGCGUGAGGUCGAUGGUUCAAGUCCAUUUAGGCCCACCAUAUAGUUGAUAUUUCUAAUUAGCUCUUUGAAAAGUAGAUAAAUUUAAGGUUAAAGAAA
This 212-nucleotide ribosomal RNA is filed under the name Phytoplasma sp. RNAcentral describes it as "Candidatus Phytoplasma sp. ribosomal RNA". The stretch from base 78 to 151 matches the Rfam family "tRNA". Lineage: Bacteria; Bacillati; Mycoplasmatota; Mollicutes; Acholeplasmatales; Acholeplasmataceae. The record is from RNAcentral.